This 68-nucleotide transfer RNA is filed under the name Magallana gigas (Pacific oyster). RNAcentral's name for it is "Crassostrea gigas (Pacific oyster) tRNA-Asn". Lineage: Eukaryota; Metazoa; Mollusca; Bivalvia; Ostreida; Ostreidae. The record is from RNAcentral.
GCCCAUUUUGUUAUGAGUAUUUAACAACUUGUCUUUCUAAUAGUAAAAGAAUAAUUUCUAAAAAAUGA